This 440-nucleotide ribosomal RNA is filed under the name uncultured bacterium. RNAcentral describes it as "partial 16S ribosomal RNA". It matches the Rfam family "Bacterial small subunit ribosomal RNA", at positions 338 to 795 of the family's 1533-position model. The record is from RNAcentral.
CCUACGGGUGGCAGCAGUGGGGAAUAUUGCACAAUGGGGGAAACCCUGAUGCAGCGACGCCGCGUGAGCGAUGCAGUAUUUCGGUAUGUAAAGCUCUAUCAGCAGUGAAGAAAAUGACGGUACCUGACUAAGAAGCCCCGGCUAACUACGUGCCAUCAGCCGCGGUAGUACGUAGGGGGCCAGCGUUAUCCGGAUUUACUGGGUGUAAAGGGAGCGUAGACGGCGGUUCAAGACAGAUGUGAAAGCCCGGGGCUCAACCCCGGGACUGCCUUUGGAACUGUGCUGCUAGAGGGGCGGAGAGGCAGGCGGAAUGCCUAGUGUAGCGGUGAAAUGCGUAGAUAUUAGGAGGAACACCAGUGGCGAAGGCGGCCUGCUGGACGAUGACUGACGUUGAGGCUCGAAAGCGUGGGGAGCAAACAGGAUUAGAUACCCUUGUAGUC